AACCAUCCGCCACUCGGUGACCAUGGAGCGGUGAGCAUGUGGCGUUCAGAGCUUUGUUGAUGUCGCUUGGCUGUUGCCACUCCUCUUGUCCUUGAAGCCUUGGUCAUCUAUAAUUUCCUGAGCCUGUGCUAUGAGUACCUAGGAGGAGAAAGUUCCAUCAUGUCGGAGAUCAGAGGAAAACCCAUUGAGUCCAGCUGUGUGUAUGGCACCUGCUGCCUCUGGGGAAAGACUUAUUCCAUCGGAUUUCUGAGGUUCUGCAAACAGGCCACCCUGCAGUUCUGUGUGGUGAAGCCACUCAUGGCGGUCAGCACUGUGGUGCUCCAGGCCUUCGGCAAGUACCGGGAUGGGGACUUUGACGUCACCAGUGGCUACCUCUACGUGACCAUCAUCUACAACAUCUCCGUCAGCCUGGCCCUCUACGCCCUCUUCC
RNAcentral lists this small RNA (430 nucleotides) under Pan troglodytes (chimpanzee). RNAcentral's name for it is "processed transcript". The record is from RNAcentral. Lineage: Eukaryota; Metazoa; Chordata; Mammalia; Primates; Hominidae.